GUUUUCAUGGUGUAAUUUAGCACAUUAGAUUUUCAUUCUAAAGGAAUAAAACUAUUUAUUGGAAAUG
Molecule: transfer RNA, 67 nt
Filed under: Brunneifusus ternatanus
Lineage: Eukaryota; Metazoa; Mollusca; Gastropoda; Neogastropoda; Melongenidae
Description: tRNA-Glu
Rfam family: tRNA
About the family: Transfer RNA (tRNA) molecules are approximately 80 nucleotides in length. Their secondary structure includes four short double-helical elements and three loops (D, anti-codon, and T loops).
Source: RNAcentral